GAUGAAGAACGUAGCGAAAUGCGAUAAGUAAUGUGAAUUGCAGAAUUCAGUGAAUCAUCGAAUCUUUGAACGCACAUUGCGCCCGCCAGUAUUCUGGCGGGCAUGCCUGUCUGAGCGUCAUUUCAACCCUCAUGCCCCUAGGGCGUGGUGUUGGGGAUCGGCCAAAGCCCGCGAGGGACGGCCGGCCCCUAAAUCUAGUGGCGGACCCGUCGUGGCCUCCUCUGCGAAGUAGUGAUAUUCCGCAUCGGAGAGCGACGAGCCCCUGCCGUUAAACCCCCAACUUUCCAAGGUUGACCUCAGAUCAGGUAGGAAUACCCGCUGAACUUAAGCAUAGCAAUAAGCGGAGGA
This 348-nucleotide unclassified non-coding RNA is filed under the name soil metagenome. RNAcentral describes it as "partial contains 5.8S ribosomal RNA, internal transcribed spacer 2, and large subunit ribosomal RNA". The stretch from base 1 to 120 matches the Rfam family "5.8S ribosomal RNA", at positions 35 to 154 of the family's 154-position model. The record is from RNAcentral.